Asterophora parasitica is the source of this 106-nucleotide non-coding RNA. The record is from the annotation of a GenBank genome assembly. NCBI's taxonomy places the organism in Eukaryota, Fungi, Basidiomycota, Agaricomycetes, Agaricales, Lyophyllaceae.
GGCAAGAUGGCCGAGCGGUGUAAGGCGCCAGACUAGGGACCAACGCGUUCUACCACUACCUUCAAUCUGGUCAUUCGUGGCGUGGGUUCGAAUCCCACUCUCAUCA